RNAcentral lists this ribosomal RNA (907 nucleotides) under uncultured bacterium. Its description in RNAcentral is "bacterial SSU rRNA". It matches the Rfam family "Bacterial small subunit ribosomal RNA", at positions 29 to 916 of the family's 1533-position model. The record is from RNAcentral.
AUGAACGCUGGCGGCGUGCCUAAUACAUGCAAGUCGAGCGAACAGACGAGGAGCUGCUCCCCCUGACGUUAGCGGCGGACGGGUGAGUAACACGUGGAUAACCUACCUAUAAGACUGGGAUAACUUCGGGAAACCGGAGCUAAUACCCGGAUAAUAUAUUGAACCGCAUGGUUCAAUAGUGAAAGACGGUUUUGCUGUCACUUAUAGAUGGAUCCGCGUCGCAUUAGCUAGUUGGUAAGGUAACGGCUUACCAAGGCAACGAUGCGUAGCCGACCUGAGAGGGUGAUCGGCCACACUGGAACUGAGACACGGUCCAGACUCCUACGGGAGGCAGCAGUAGGGAAUCUUCCGCAAUGGGCGAAAGCCUGACGGAGCAACGCCGCGUGAGUGAUGAAGGUCUUCGGAUCGUAAAACUCUGUUAUUAGGGAAGAACAAAUGUGUAAGUAACUAUGCACGUCUUGACGGUACCUAAUCAGAAAGCCACGGCUAACUACGUGCCAGCAGCCGCGGUAAUACGUAGGUGGCAAGCGUUAUCCGGAAUUAUUGGGCGUAAAGCGCGCGUAGGCGGUUUUUUAAGUCUGAUGUGAAAGCCCACGGCUCAACCGUGGAGGGUCAUUGGAAACUGAAAAACUUGAGUGCAGAAGAGGAAAGUGGAAUUCCAUGUGUAGCGGUGAAAUGCGCAGAGAUAUGGAGGAACACCAGUGGCGAAGGCGACUUUCUGGUCUGUAACUGACGCUGAUGUGCGAAAGCGUGGGGAUCAAACAGGAUUAGAUACCCUGGUAGUCCACGCCGUAAACGAUGAGUGCUAAGUGUUAGGGGGUUUCCGCCCCUUAGUGCUGCAGCUAACGCAUUAAGCACUCCGCCUGGGGAGUACGACCGCAAGGUUGAAACUCAAAGGAAUUGACGG